GUGGCUGUGACUGCCCGCCCUCACAACGGCCCGUUUUCUUCCCAGUGCUCUGAACUUUUGGGCAAAUGUGUCAAGUGUGUACACAGACAAAGCCUCACUUCAAAGCUCGUGUUCAGGGCCCUUAAAGUCAUAGUUAUUGCAAAACUGCGGCCGUCUGGCGAACCUGCCUUAUGUAAGGGUGCUUGAACGUAUGAUUCACCAAACAUUUCCGCAGACAUCGCAAAGUUGUUGGAGCCAGAGUAGGAGAAAGACCACCCAUUUGAGAUCAUGGCUUGACAGAAUGACACUUUAACGGGAAAUCAUCUGAUUUUCUUUUUCUGGCCGUGAGACUAAUGGAAGUUUUCAUGUGAGUGUCCAAAGAGAUGAUCUUGGAGUCUGGGAUACAACCAAGGAAGCAGCACGUCUGCCUGCACAUUAUGAUGCCUCCCACCAUGAUGACAAUGGACUAAAACCUCUGAAACUGUCCGGCUUGUUUGAUGUGGGAGCUAAGUCGGUCUAUACUGGUCUAACACAAAGCGAACACCCCAAGCGGGCCUGGACUAGAGAGGCUACCUGAACUGUGGCGUGCUUAAAGCAGUACCACAGAGAUGGGAGGCACCCAAGAGUCUUUGCCCCAUCAGGUGCUGCAAGAAACCUCUUCACUGAGCAGUUUAUAAACAAGUGUACUCCUCAGAGUCUGGAGGAAGGAGGUCUAAGAUGUAUCGGCCCCAACGCCUCCUAUCUUGUGGAUCGAGUUCCUGUGGAGGAAGCUAACACAGCGGUAAGCAAAUGUGGACUGACAGAGGACACAGGGCCAUUCGAGAAACUGUCAGAAACUGAGAAUCACCUCAGAACACGCUGAGAAGGAGAGCUAAGGAGGUGAGGCCUGGGUUGUGGGAGGUUGGCACCUGACAGCAGUGGUUCCCACUGCUGGGUUCUCUUCUGGUUUUGAUUGUCUACGCUCAGGCUUCAGAGCCCUGGGCAUGAGAAAAAAAAAGGGAGAAUGAAUACGUUAGUAUUCCAUGAAGGCAUAGAAGCAGGUAUGUGGGAAUGGCUGUCGUUCCAUCUUCUGGGUAGUCAUGGCUGUCAGGUGGGAGGCCCAGGGAGAGCCAGUGUCCCGUCAGUCAAAACCAUGGCAGGGUGGCUUACAUUCUAUCUCAGAUAAAUUCUUUUUGUUUGGUAGAGAAGCAUUCUCUCUGCUCUAUUUCAGCUUCGGUUAAAUGGACUACGAGGACCCACGUCAUAGAGGGAAGUCUGUCUCACUGAUUCUGAUUUUUUUCAAAUAAAAUGUUUUCUUU
RNAcentral lists this long non-coding RNA (1277 nucleotides) under Mus musculus (house mouse). RNAcentral's name for it is "lincRNA-EC182". Lineage: Eukaryota; Metazoa; Chordata; Mammalia; Rodentia; Muridae. The record is from RNAcentral.